GAUGAACGCUGGCGGCGUGCCUAAUACAUGCAAGUCGAGCGAACAGACGAGGAGCUUGCUCCUCUGACGUUAGCGGCGGACGGGUGAGUAACACGUGGAUAACCUACCUAUAAGACUGGGAUAACUUCGGGAAACCGGCGCUAAUACCGGAUAAUAUAUUGAACCGCAUGGUUCAAUAGUGAAAGACGGUUUUGCUGUCACUUCUAGAUGGAUCCGCGCCGCAUUAUCUAGUUGGUAAGGUAACGGCUUACCAAGGCGACGAUGCGUAGCCGACCUGAGAGGGUGAUCGGCCACACUGGAACUGAGACACGGUCCAGACUCCUACGGGAGGCAGCAGUAGGGAAUCUUCCGCAAUGGGCGAAAGCUUGACGGAGCAACGCCGCGUGAGUGAUGAAGGUCUUCGGAUCGUAAAACUCUGUUAUUAGGGAAGAACAAAUGUGUAAGUAACUAUGCACGUCUUGACGGUACCUAAUCAGAAAGCCACGGCUAACUACGUG
This 497-nucleotide ribosomal RNA is filed under the name uncultured bacterium. RNAcentral's name for it is "partial 16S ribosomal RNA". It matches the Rfam family "Bacterial small subunit ribosomal RNA", at positions 28 to 507 of the family's 1533-position model. The record is from RNAcentral.